RNAcentral lists this ribosomal RNA (468 nucleotides) under uncultured bacterium. RNAcentral describes it as "partial 16S ribosomal RNA". It matches the Rfam family "Bacterial small subunit ribosomal RNA", at positions 28 to 507 of the family's 1533-position model. The record is from RNAcentral.
GACGAACGCUGGCGGCGCGCCUAACACAUGCAAGUCGAACGGAGCUGCGAGAAGCUUGCUUUUCUUAGCUUAGUGGCGAACGGGUGAGUAACGCGUGAGUAACCUGCCCUGGAGUGGGGGACAACAGUUGGAAACGACUGCUAAUACCGCAUAAGCCCACGAUCCGGCAUCGGAUUGAGGGAAAAGGAUUUAUUCGCUUCAGGAUGGACUCGCGUCCAAUUAGCUAGUUGGUGAGGUAACGGCCCACCAAGGCGACGAUUGGUAGCCGGACUGAGAGGUUGAGCGGCCACAUUGGGACUGAGACACGGCCCAGACUCCUACGGGAGGCGGCAGUGGGGGAUAUUGCACAAUGGGGGAAACCCUGAUGCAGCGACGCCGCGUGGAGGAAGAAGGUUUUCGGAUUGUAAACUCCUGUCGUUAGGGACGAUAAUGACGGUACCUAACAAGAAAGCACCGGCUAACUACGUG